UUAUUUCUUUACAUAAGUGUACAAUUUUAUUAUGUUUAAAAUAUAUGUUAUUUUUAAUAAUUGAUUAUUAUUCUUAUGGCUCAUGAAUUGUUUUGAUUCAGGACUGACAAAAUAGAUCUUCCAAUUUUCUAUUUGAUUUAUGGUUUGAUAACACCACCAGAGAGAUCUCUUCACGUUACUUCACAUUAUUUGUGCUUACUAUCGUUUUAAAGAUAUGCAUAUGCUAUCAGACUAACACUGGCUUUUGCAAAAUCAUGGUGGCUUUUUGUGAUUUCGGCAAAUCCACUGUGUACCAAACACGGACUUAAAAUUCUUUUUGGCUGUUCAUAAAUAUCGUUGUCGAUCUUGAAAGUUUCUUUUCUAACUUUGUACCGUAGGUAUUUGGCGGAAAAAACCCUUUACCUCCUUACCCGACAGAGAACAACCACAUUAUCUCCAUUAAA
Molecule: long non-coding RNA, 443 nt
Filed under: Trifolium pratense (red clover)
Lineage: Eukaryota; Viridiplantae; Streptophyta; Magnoliopsida; Fabales; Fabaceae
Description: long non-coding RNA (TPRA_LNC007536)
Source: RNAcentral